Molecule: long non-coding RNA, 311 nt
Filed under: Actinidia chinensis (golden kiwifruit)
Lineage: Eukaryota; Viridiplantae; Streptophyta; Magnoliopsida; Ericales; Actinidiaceae
Description: long non-coding RNA (ACHI_LNC001473)
Source: RNAcentral
UUGAGGAUACAUCCUACAUGAAAAAUUCCUUAAUUGCCGUGCAGACAUCAUCACCAGUGAUACUCCAAGUUCUUUUUAAAAAAAACAUGAUGAAUACCCAUCGGGCCUAGGGGCCUUAUCAUCCCCUAUAUCAAACAGGGCUUCCUUGAUUUCCUCAUCAAGCACUGGCCUAAUGAGGUUGGAGGCUUGAUCCUCAGAUACAAAAUUACCAACUAAAAAGAUCUCACUAUUUAUUCUAUUGCACUCCUUCUUUGUUCCCAAUAGCUUUUUAUAAUACUCCACAAAUAGUGAACUUACCUGCUGGGGGGAAG